AGGACGAACGCUGGCGGCGUGCCUAAUACAUGCMAGUCGAGCGCAUGACGAGGAGCUUGCUCCUCUGAUUGAGCGGCGGACGGGUGAGUAACACGUGGGCAACCUGCCCUGUAGACGGGGAUAACUUCGGGAAACCGGAGCUAAUACCGGAUAAUCCUCUUCCCCACAUGGGGAAGAGUUGAAAGGCGCUUUUGCGUCACUACAGGAUGGGCCCGCGGUGCAUUAGCUAGUUGGUGGGGUAACGGCCUACCAAGGCGACGAUGCAUAGCCGACCUGAGAGGGUGAUCGGCCACAUUGGGACUGAGACACGGCCCAAACUCCUACGGGAGGCAGCAGUAGGGAAUCUUCCACAAUGGACGAAAGUCUGAUGGAGCAACGCCGCGUGAGUGAUGAAGGUUUUCGGAUCGUAAAACUCUGUUGUAAGGGAAGAACCAGUACGUCAGGCAAUGGACGUACCUUGACGGUACCUUAUUAGAAAGCCACGGCUAACUACGUGCCAGCAGCCGCGGUAAUACGUAGGUGGCAAGCGUUGUCCGGAAUUAUUGGGCGUAAAGCGCGCGCAGGUGGUUUCUUAAGUCUGAUGUGAAAGCCCACGGCUUAACCGUGGAGGGUCAUUGGAAACUGGGAGACUUGAGUGCAGAAGAGGAAAGUGGAAUUCCAAGUGUAGCGGUGAAAUGCGUAGAGAUUUGGAGGAACACCAGUGGCGAAGGCGACUUUCUGGUCUGCAACUGACGCUGAGGCGCGAAAGCAUGGGGAGCAAACAGGAUU
RNAcentral lists this ribosomal RNA (768 nucleotides) under Rummeliibacillus suwonensis. RNAcentral describes it as "bacterial SSU rRNA". Lineage: Bacteria; Bacillati; Bacillota; Bacilli; Caryophanales; Caryophanaceae. The record is from RNAcentral.